This 24-nucleotide non-coding RNA is filed under the name Cricetulus griseus (Chinese hamster). The record is from RNAcentral. Lineage: Eukaryota; Metazoa; Chordata; Mammalia; Rodentia; Cricetidae.
AAUGACCUCUGCUGGCGUGUCUGA